RNAcentral lists this long non-coding RNA (612 nucleotides) under Physcomitrium patens. RNAcentral describes it as "long non-coding RNA (PPAT_LNC008151)". Lineage: Eukaryota; Viridiplantae; Streptophyta; Bryopsida; Funariales; Funariaceae. The record is from RNAcentral.
UGUAGAAGUUAAUUAAGGUGCGAGACUGUGAGAGUCAUAAGCCGAGGGCCAUUGCUGUGAUAGUGUGAGCCGGGGUAAGCUUGGUGCUACCUCUUUUCUUUUGUUUGUUAUUUUCUUUGAAUAAGAGGAUUGAAAGUUUCUGAAUAUUGUGAAGUGAAUUAUGGAAUGGAAAUGUGAUUGGUAUUAUUUGAGAAGAAGAAAGAUUGAAUGCUGAAAUUUGAUUGUAGUUCAGCAGAGAGAAUGAGUCUGUGUUUGUGUGAAACACUGUAAUGUGAAUGGUAGUUCUGUGUGAAGAAUUCCAGUGAUUGGAAUGAGGGUAAUUGUGUGCUGAAAGCUAAGAGGGCACAGUAUUACAGUUGGAGAUUAUGAGGGUGAAUAUAUUGGUAGAAAUAGUAGUUAUUGGUAUGACUGAAUUGCUGUAAGGAAGACACCGAUAAGGUGAAGGAGGAGAUUAUAGUUUCCUUGUAUGUUCAGAUAUUGGAAAUAGAGACGAUACAUUUAGGAGGCAAUUGAUUGUGUGACCCUAACAUGAAUGCUUAAGCAACUAGUCAUUUUCCAUAUUCAAAUCUCCCUAUUUGGAUUUAUUCUAGGAAGUUUCUUCCGGAAUAAGUA